GCGGUUAUGGCGGAAUUGGCAGACGCGCCAGAUUUAGGUUCUGGUGGGAGACCGUGCAGGUUCAAGUCCUGUUAACCGCA
Molecule: transfer RNA, 80 nt
Filed under: Lachnospiraceae bacterium 3_1_57FAA_CT1
Lineage: Bacteria; Bacillati; Bacillota; Clostridia; Lachnospirales; Lachnospiraceae
Also listed under: 9 other names
Rfam family: tRNA
About the family: Transfer RNA (tRNA) molecules are approximately 80 nucleotides in length. Their secondary structure includes four short double-helical elements and three loops (D, anti-codon, and T loops). Further hydrogen bonds mediate the characteristic L-shaped molecular structure. tRNAs have two regions of fundamental functional importance: the anti-codon, which is responsible for specific mRNA codon recognition, and the 3' end, to which the tRNAs corresponding amino acid is attached (by aminoacyl-tRNA synthetases). tRNAs cope with the degeneracy of the genetic code in two manners: having more than one tRNA (with a specific anti-codon) for a particular amino acid; and 'wobble' base-pairing, i.e. permitting non-standard base-pairing at the 3rd anti-codon position.
Source: Rfam by way of RNAcentral